RNAcentral lists this ribosomal RNA (948 nucleotides) under Candidatus Competibacteraceae bacterium. RNAcentral's name for it is "bacterial SSU rRNA". It matches the Rfam family "Bacterial small subunit ribosomal RNA", at positions 1 to 947 of the family's 1533-position model. Lineage: Bacteria; Pseudomonadati; Pseudomonadota; Gammaproteobacteria; Candidatus Competibacteraceae. The record is from RNAcentral.
ACCAUGAAGAGUUUGAUCCUGGCUCAGGAUGAACGCUAGCGGCGGGCCUAAUACAUGCAAGUCGAGGGGCAGCACAGGUAGCAAUACUGGGUGGCGACCGGCGGACGGGUGCGUAACACGUAUGCAACCUGCCCUAUACUUGGGAAUAGCCCGGAGAAAUCCGGAUUAAUACCCAAUACGAUGUGAAAAGGCAUCUUUUUGCAUUGAAAGCUCCGGCGGUAUAGGAUGGGCAUGCGUCCGAUUAGCUUGUUGGUGAGGUAAUGGCUCACCAAGGCUACGAUCGGUAGGGGGCCUGAGAGGGUGAUCCCCCACACUGGUACUGAGACACGGACCAGACUCCUACGGGAGGCAGCAGUAAGGAAUAUUGGUCAAUGGGCGCAAGCCUGAACCAGCCACGCCGCGUGAAGGAUGACGGCCCUAUGGGUUGUAAACUUCUUUUCUACGGGGAUAAAUCUCAUUACGUGUAAUGAGUUGAAGGUACCGUAGGAAUAAGCAUCGGCUAACUCCGUGCCAGCAGCCGCGGUAAUACGGAGGAUGCAAGCGUUAUCCGGAUUCAUUGGGUUUAAAGGGUGCGUAGGCGGGAUGGUAAGUCAGGGGUGAAAGCCAACAGCUCAACUGUUGAAUUGCCUUUGAUACUGCUAUUCUUGAGUAUGUUUGAAGUGGGCGGAAUGUGACAUGUAGCGGUGAAAUGCGUAGAGAUGUCACAGAACACCGAUUGCGAAGGCAGCUCACUAAGCCAUUACUGACGCUGAGGCACGAAAGCGUGGGGAUCAAACAGGAUUAGAUACCCUGGUAGUCCACGCCGUAAACUAUGAUAACUCGACGUUGGCGAUAUACAGUUCAGCGUCCAAGCGAAAGCGUUAAGUUAUCCACCUGGGAAGUACGAUCGCAAGGUUGAAACUCAAAGGAAUUGACGGGGGCCCGCACAAGCGGUGGAGCAUGUGGUUU